This 429-nucleotide ribosomal RNA is filed under the name Acidobacteriota bacterium. Its description in RNAcentral is "Acidobacteria bacterium partial 16S ribosomal RNA". It matches the Rfam family "Bacterial small subunit ribosomal RNA", at positions 355 to 776 of the family's 1533-position model. Lineage: Bacteria; Pseudomonadati; Acidobacteriota. The record is from RNAcentral.
UAGGGAAUCUUCGGCAAUGGGGGGAACCCUGACCGAGCAACGCCGCGUGAGUGAAGAAGGUUUUCGGAUCGUAAAGCUCUGUUGUUAAGGAAGAACGAGUGUGAGAAUGGAAAGUUCAUACUGUGACGGUACUUAACCAGAAAGGGACGGCUAACUACGUGCCAGCAGCCGCGGUAAUACGUAGGUCCCGAGCGUUGUCCGGAUUUAUUGGGCGUAAAGCGAGCGCAGGCGGUUAGAUAAGUCUGAAGUUAAAGGCAGUGGCUCAACCAUUGUAGGCUUUGGAAACUGUUUAACUUGAGUGCAGAAGGGGAGAGUGGAAAUCCAUGUGUAGCGGUGAAAUGCGUAGAUAUAUGGAGGAACACCAGUGGCGAAAGCGGCUCUCUGGUCUGUAACUGACGCUGAGGCUCGAAAGCGUGGGGAGCGAACAGG